Molecule: ribosomal RNA, 843 nt
Filed under: Plectosphaerella cucumerina
Lineage: Eukaryota; Fungi; Ascomycota; Sordariomycetes; Glomerellales; Plectosphaerellaceae
Description: partial large subunit ribosomal RNA
Rfam family: Eukaryotic large subunit ribosomal RNA
Source: RNAcentral
CAGGGAUUGCCUCAGUAACGGCGAGUGAAGCGGCAACAGCUCAAAUUUGAAAUCUGGCUCCUUCGGGGCCCGAGUUGUAAUUUGCAGAGGAUGCGUCGGGUACGGGUGCCUUCCGAGUUCCCUGGAACGGGACGCCAUAGAGGGUGAGAGCCCCGUCUGGUAGGAUACCCAGCCCGUGUGACGCUCCCUCGACGAGUCGAGUAGUUUGGGAAUGCUGCUCUAACGGGAGGUAUACUCCUUCCAAGGCUAAAUACCGGCUGGAGACCGAUAGCGCACAAGUAGAGUGAUCGAAAGAUGAAAAGCACUUUGAAAAGAGAGUCAAACAGCACGUGAAAUUGUUAAAAGGGAAGCGCUCGCUACCAGACUUGGGUUCGGCGGUUCAACCGGGGCCACGCCCCGGGGCAUUCCGCCGGCCCAGGCCAGCAUCAGCUUUCCGUCGGGGGUAAAGGCGUCGGGAAUGUGGCUCCCCUUCGGGGGAGUGUUAUAGCCCGUCGUGUCAUACCCUUCGGGGGGCUGAGGUACGCGCUUCUGCAAGGAUGCUGGCGUAAUGGUAGCUAGUGACCCGUCUUGAAACACGGACCAAGGAGUCAACCUUAUGUGCGAGUGCCCGGGCGUAAAACCCCAGCGCGGAAUGAAAGUGAACGUAGGUGAGAGCUUCGGCGCAUCACCGACCGAUCCUGAUGUCCUCGGACGGAUUUGAGUGAGAGCAUAUAGGGUUGGACCCGAAAGAAGAUGAACUAUGCGUGUGUAGGGUGAAGCCAGAGGAAACUCUGGUGGAGGCUCGCAGCGGUUCUGACGUGCAAAUCGAUCGUCAAACAUGCGCAUGGGGGCGAAAGACUAAUC